CAAAAGACCUAAACUCUUUCCACAGGGGUUCAAAUCCUCUCGUCAACU
This 48-nucleotide transfer RNA is filed under the name Espadarana prosoblepon (emerald glass frog). Its description in RNAcentral is "partial tRNA-Leu". Lineage: Eukaryota; Metazoa; Chordata; Amphibia; Anura; Centrolenidae. The record is from RNAcentral.